GACAGAGGUGGCAAGCGUUGUUCGGAAUCACUGGGCUUAAAGGGCGAGUAGGCGGUGAGGUAAGUCUGUGGUGGAAUCCUAUGACUCAAUCAUAGAAUUGCCUUGGAAACUGCUUUACUUGAGUCAGUGAGGGGAGGGCGGAGUUCCUGGUGUAGCGGUGAAAUGCGUAGAUAUCAGGAGGAAGGCCUGUGGCGAAGGCGGCCCUCUGGCACUGCACUGACGCUGAGGCGCGAAAGCGUGGGUAGCAAACAGGAUUAGAUACCCUGGUAGUCCACGCCCUAAACGGUGGGCAUUAGGUGUAGGGCUCGUAAGGGUUUUGUGCCGAAGGGAAACCAUUAAAUGCCCCGCCUGGGGAAUACGGCCGCAAGGUUGAAACUCAAAUGAAUUGACGG
This 392-nucleotide ribosomal RNA is filed under the name uncultured bacterium. Its description in RNAcentral is "bacterial SSU rRNA". It matches the Rfam family "Bacterial small subunit ribosomal RNA", at positions 524 to 916 of the family's 1533-position model. The record is from RNAcentral.